AUUGAACGCUGGCGGCAGGCCUAACACAUGCAAGUCGAGCGGAUGAAGGGAGCUUGCUCCUGGAUUCAGCGGCGGACGGGUGAGUAAUGCCUAGGAAUCUGCCUGGUAGUGGGGGAUAACGUCCGGAAACGGGCGCUAAUACCGCAUACGUCCUGAGGGAGAAAGUGGGGGAUCUUCGGACCUCACGCUAUCAGAUGAGCCUAGGUCGGAUUAGCUAGUUGGUGGGGUAAAGGCCUACCAAGGCGACGAUCCGUAACUGGUCUGAGAGGAUGAUCAGUCACACUGGAACUGAGACACGGUCCAGACUCCUACGGGAGGCAGCAGUGGGGAAUAUUGGACAAUGGGCGAAAGCCUGAUCCAGCCAUGCCGCGUGUGUGAAGAAGGUCUUCGGAUUGUAAAGCACUUUAAGUUGGGAGGAAGGGCAGUAAGUUAAUACCUUGCGGUUUUGACGGUACCAACAGAAUAAGCACCGGCUAACUUCGUG
RNAcentral lists this ribosomal RNA (484 nucleotides) under uncultured bacterium. RNAcentral's name for it is "partial 16S ribosomal RNA". It matches the Rfam family "Bacterial small subunit ribosomal RNA", at positions 30 to 507 of the family's 1533-position model. The record is from RNAcentral.